This 205-nucleotide long non-coding RNA is filed under the name Elaeis guineensis (African oil palm). RNAcentral describes it as "long non-coding RNA (EGUI_LNC022055)". Lineage: Eukaryota; Viridiplantae; Streptophyta; Magnoliopsida; Arecales; Arecaceae. The record is from RNAcentral.
UCUUUGUUCUCCGACUCCACCCUAAAGCCCGAGGGUGGUGGUAUUUCAACCCUCGGAAGGAUCUCUCCUUUAUCACUGGUCUUCCGUCGUUGAUUCAUGGAUGGAAGAACCAGUUCUUCUUUGUCUCUUCUUCCGUUCCUUGGGGGUUCCCCUCCCGCUGGGGGGACCACCAAACCCAACCAAACGAGAACACUCGGGUGGAGGC